Molecule: small RNA, 127 nt
Filed under: Marmota monax (woodchuck)
Lineage: Eukaryota; Metazoa; Chordata; Mammalia; Rodentia; Sciuridae
Source: RNAcentral
GCCAGGUGUGGUGGCGCAGGCCUGUAAUCCCAGCAACUCGGGAGGCUGAGGCAGGAGGAUCACAAGUUCUAAACUAGCCUCAGCCACUUAGUGAGGCCCUAAGCAACUCUGUGAGACCCUGUCCUUC